AUAUACUAGCGAGGAUGGGUGUGAUUCCCUACCGGUGGUUAAAGUCCACAAGCCUAUUUGGGGUUGAUCUGCUGAAAUUGCAGAACCGACAGUAAAGUCUGGAAGGGAGUUAGUAAAG
Molecule: non-coding RNA, 118 nt
Filed under: Halanaerobium hydrogeniformans
Lineage: Bacteria; Bacillati; Bacillota; Clostridia; Halanaerobiales; Halanaerobiaceae
Description: FMN sequence
Rfam family: FMN riboswitch aptamer (RFN element)
About the family: The RFN element is a highly conserved domain that is found frequently in the 5'-untranslated regions of prokaryotic mRNAs that encode for flavin mononucleotide (FMN) biosynthesis and transport proteins.
Source: Rfam by way of RNAcentral